GACGAACGCUGGCGGCGUGCUUAACACAUGCAAGUCGAACGGAAAGGCCCUGCUUUUGUGGGGUGCUCGAGUGGCGAACGGGUGAGUAACACGUGAGUAACCUGCCCUUGACUUUGGGAUAACUUCAGGAAACUGGGGCUAAUACCGGAUAGGAGCUCCUGCUGCAUGGUGGGGGUUGGAAAGUUUCGGCGGUUGGGGAUGGACUCGCGGCUUAUCAGCUUGUUGGUGGGGUAGUGGCUUACCAAGGCUUUGACGGGUAGCCGGCCUGAGAGGGUGACCGGCCACAUUGGGACUGAGAUACGGACCAGACUCCUACGGGAGGCAGCAGUGGGGAAUAUUGCACAAUGGGCGGAAGCCUGAUGCAGCAGCGCCGCGUGCGGGAUGACGGCCUUCGGGUUGUAAACCGCUUUCGCCUGUGACGAAGCGUGAGUGACGGUAAUGGGUAAAGAAGCACCGGCUAACUACGUG
Molecule: ribosomal RNA, 468 nt
Filed under: uncultured bacterium
Lineage: Bacteria
Description: partial 16S ribosomal RNA
Rfam family: Bacterial small subunit ribosomal RNA
Source: RNAcentral